CGAACGGGUGAGUAACACGUGGGUGAUCUGCCCUGCACUUUGGGAUAAGCCUGGGAAACUGGGUCUAAUACCGAAUACACCCUGCUGGUCGCAUGGCCUGGUGGGGGAAAGCUUUUGCGGUGUGGGAUGGGCCCGCGGCCUAUCAGCUUGUUGGUGGGGUGAUGGCCUACCAAGGCGACGACGGGUAGCCGGCCUGAGAGGGUGUCCGGCCACACUGGGACUGAGAUACGGCCCAGACUCCUACGGGAGGCAGCAGUGGGGAAUAUUGCACAAUGGGCGCAAGCCUGAUGCAGCGACGCCGCGUGAGGGACGACGGCCUUCGGGUUGUAAACCUCUUUCAGCACAGACGAAGCGCAAGUGACGGUAUGUGCAGAAGAAGCACCGGCCAACUACGUGCCAGCAGCCGCGGUAAUACGUAGGGUGCGAGCGUUGUCCGGAAUUACUGGGCGUAAAGAGCUCGUAGGUGGUUUGUCGCGUUGUUCGUGAAAACUCACAGCUCAACUGUGGGCGUGCGGGCGAUACGGGCAGACUGGAGUACUGCAGGGGAGACUGGAAUUCCUGGUGUAGCGGUGGAAUGCGCAGAUAUCAGGAGGAACACCGGUGGCGAAGGCGGGUCUCUGGGCAGUAACUGACGCUGAGGA
Molecule: ribosomal RNA, 641 nt
Filed under: Mycobacterium sp. I13A-01620
Lineage: Bacteria; Bacillati; Actinomycetota; Actinomycetes; Mycobacteriales; Mycobacteriaceae
Description: bacterial SSU rRNA
Rfam family: Bacterial small subunit ribosomal RNA
Source: RNAcentral